AUGAGAAUGGUUUUCGCAGCUUCCAUCGUGUACGUUUUCCUCGUAUUCCACGUCGUUCUCUUAGCUACCACGGCGGUCGCCACAACCACCACGCCCUUCCCAACGUCUGGCGUCACCAACGCCACGUCGGUGGCCAACAGCAACACCGCAAACGGCGUCGAGUCCCGUGCAGCGACGGCGGCGCUCAACAGCUCGGAUCAGUACUCGAAUCAGUACAUCUGCUACCUCUGCCGCCAGCGUAACACCCUGAUGAUCAAGUGGUGUCCCCUCUACAAGGACGACUGCCACCUCGCAUGCCUGUCCUCCACGUCCCCUACCCGCCACCCCCAGCUGUACCCCUCCGCCGACGGCGAAGGUAGGAAGAGCACGCUGGGAACCGGCCCUGGCGGCUCGGACCCCGACGACUGCUACGUCAUGAAGCUGUAUCCGGAUGGCAGAUGGGUCAUAACCGUGGCGGUCAGCUGCAAGGCGGUCGCGGGCUGCUACCUUGUGUGCAGCAAUGGAGACGCGCCGCUUGGGAGCAGAGCCGACGACACCACCCCGGCCGUGGCCAGGGGGCCGCCACUGCCCCGCGCCUCCGAAUUCCAGCGGUGCGGUGAUCAGCUCCCGGCGGCAGGCAACCGCGUCUAG
This 630-nucleotide ribosomal RNA is filed under the name Triticum aestivum (bread wheat). RNAcentral describes it as "partial small subunit ribosomal RNA". The record is from RNAcentral. Lineage: Eukaryota; Viridiplantae; Streptophyta; Magnoliopsida; Poales; Poaceae.